CGUGUAGGCGGUCUUUUAAGUCUGAUGUGAAAGCCCUGGGCUCAACCUGGGAAGUGCAUUGGAAACUGGAAGACUUGAGUACGGGAGAGGGUAGUGGAAUUCCCAGUGUAGGAGUGAAAUCCGUAGAUAUUGGGAGGAACACCGGUGGCGAAGGCGGCUACCUGGACCGAUACUGAUGCUGAGACGCGAAAGCGUGGGGAGCAAACAGGAUUAGAUACCCUGGUAGUCCACGCCGUAAACGAUGAGUACUAGGUGUCGCGGGUAUUGGACCCCUGCGGUGCCGCAGCUAACGCAUUAAGUACUCCGCCUGGGAAGUACGGUCGCAAGACUAAA
This 333-nucleotide ribosomal RNA is filed under the name uncultured bacterium. RNAcentral's name for it is "bacterial SSU rRNA". It matches the Rfam family "Bacterial small subunit ribosomal RNA", at positions 568 to 898 of the family's 1533-position model. The record is from RNAcentral.